This 290-nucleotide long non-coding RNA is filed under the name Phoenix dactylifera (date palm). RNAcentral's name for it is "long non-coding RNA (PDAC_LNC017033)". Lineage: Eukaryota; Viridiplantae; Streptophyta; Magnoliopsida; Arecales; Arecaceae. The record is from RNAcentral.
UUGCGAGUUUUAUGAAAUUUUUGAUAGUUGAUCCAAAGCUAUCUAUCACACUGAUUUUGAUCGAGGAGAAUGAGAUCUUGGAUUUAUAUUACUCAAUGGGCUGAGCAUCUGAAAGGCCUAGAUCUCUUAAAUUUCGAGGACGAAAUUUUUUUAAGGGGGAGAGAAUGUGAGAUACGGGCUGAAGUCGGCAGCCCCAGCCGACUUCAGCCCCGUCUUCUUUUUUUUUUGGAAGGGGUCAGAGCAGGGGAUCGCAGACGCGAUCCCCUCCGGCUUCUUUGGGCGCAGCGAGG